AGUGGCGGACGGGUGAGUAAUGCGUGAGCAACCUGCCCUUCAGAGGGGGACAACAGUUGGAAACGACUGCUAAUACCGCAUAAUGUAUUGAGAAGGCAUCUUUUUGAUACCAAAGAUUUAUCGCUGAAGGAUGGGCUCACGUCUGAUUAGCUAGUUGGUGAGGUAAUGGCUCACCAAGGCUUCGAUCAGUAGCCGGACUGAGAGGUUGGCCGGCCACAUUGGGACUGAGAUACGGCCCAGACUCCUACGGGAGGCAGCAGUGGGGAAUAUUGGGCAAUGGGCGCAAGCCUGACCCAGCAACGCCGCGUGAAGGAAGAAGGCUUUCGGGUUGUAAACUUCUUUUGGCAGGGACGAAACAAAUGACGGUACCUGCAGAAUAAGCUCCGGCUAACUACGUGCCAGCAGCCGCGGUAAUACGUAGGGAGCAAGCGUUAUCCGGACUUACUGGGUGUAAAGGGCGCGUAGGCGGGAAUGCAAGUCAGAUGUGAAAUCUGAGGGCUCAACCCUCAAACUGCAUUUGAAACUGUAUUUCUUGAGUGAUGGAGAGGCAAGUGGAAUUCCUAGUGUAGCGGUGAAAUGCGUAGAUAUUAGGAGGAACACCAGUGGCGAAGGCGACUUGCUGGACGUUAACUGACGCUGAGGCGCGAAAGCGUGGGGAGCGAACAGGAUUAGAUACCCUGGUAGUCCACGCU
Molecule: ribosomal RNA, 692 nt
Filed under: uncultured bacterium
Lineage: Bacteria
Description: bacterial SSU rRNA
Rfam family: Bacterial small subunit ribosomal RNA
Source: RNAcentral